This 559-nucleotide small RNA is filed under the name Pongo abelii (Sumatran orangutan). RNAcentral describes it as "processed transcript". The record is from RNAcentral. Lineage: Eukaryota; Metazoa; Chordata; Mammalia; Primates; Hominidae.
CUCUUUUCAGCCUGAGUCCUAAACCUGAAGAAGCUACAGCCUGGAGCUCUAAACUACAUGAGUCUUUCCAAACGACAAGCCAAGAAGAUCUGUUGAAAGUUUCCUCUUAAGUUUCGUGGAGAGAGACUCAGGUAUAGAAAUAUCCUUACUGCCACCUGACCUGAAGCAGAAGAAAUCACUGACAGCUUCCAGACCAGGAAGUUCAUGUUUGGAGAGGUGGAGUAACCUGCCACAGGUCACAAAACUAGUCAUUGGCAUGGCCACAAUCUGAAUUUGGGACCGUUAGACUGAGAAGCCCAAGCUAAUUCUUGAUACACUCACUGCCUGGGACAUUUCACACGGUAGAUCUGAGCUUUCUCGCAUCUGAGACUAAAAGGAAAAUGUAGUCCUUAACAGACAGCAGAAGGAAACAGAUUAUUAGCAAAAAGAACUGCUUUCCUAGCAGGAAACCAGAGAAGGAGUUAUUUCAUGUAAGCUUAAGCAAAGGAAAUUGAACAAAAUCAGUUCUUUAUCUAUCCUGUUAUUCGUAUGGAAAUAAAGACGAAAUGCUUGCAUCCUG